GCCCGCAUGGCUAAGUGGUAUAGCGUCUCACUAGUAAUGAGGUUCUUCGGAUCAUGAGAAGAUCGGCGGUUCGAUUCCGCCUGUGGGCA
This is a non-coding RNA of Massarina eburnea CBS 473.64, 89 nucleotides long. The record is from the annotation of a GenBank genome assembly. NCBI's taxonomy places the organism in Eukaryota, Fungi, Ascomycota, Dothideomycetes, Pleosporales, Massarinaceae.